Tarenaya hassleriana is the source of this 943-nucleotide long non-coding RNA. RefSeq lists it as uncharacterized. NCBI's taxonomy places the organism in Eukaryota, Viridiplantae, Streptophyta, Magnoliopsida, Brassicales, Cleomaceae. The record is from RefSeq and is a predicted model, not a curated record. The transcript has 2 exons.
UCGGGUAAGAUUGUGAUAACCGAGGGCAAGGUGAGAGGUGACACAUAUACAAUGUUUGAGAAUAUAUAUCCUGCGCUUACAGAAUUCGUCCAACAAAAUCCGCGGCCGACUUAUUCCGAUGUCUGGGUCUUUGCGGAUUUGUAGCGGUAGCAGUAUCCGAAGCGCCAAGUGCAGUCACUUUUGUAUUGCCCUUUUGAGUAAUUAUGAAUUGUGAGAUGAAGGAAAAAGAGGAGCGGAAAUUGAUUCAAUUUGGCUGAUUGUUUACAUAUUUGCUCUCAUCAUUUGAAAAAAAAAGAUAUAUUUCUGGAUUCUUCUGCAUGUUUUUUAUCAAGAGACCAAUUUCAUGGUCCAAGGUCAAAUUCAUCGGAAGUAAUUUCAAUUAUUUUCACAACUAAUCAAAGUUUAUAAGCAAUUUCUUUAUGCGUUAACCCUUUUACCGCAUUUAAUAAAUGCAUUCCAGCUCCUCUUACGUAGGUUCUGGAGUUACAUCUGUGCAGCUCGGCGAUCCACGGCGAAGCCAACGACAGCUAUGGAAGAGGAGGAGGAAGAAGAAAAAAAGGCAGUAGACGCAGAAGGAACAGAAACACAUUCAACGACUAUUUCCAAGACUCAUCAAUCGGAGAAAACAAUGACGCGACCAAACGAGGAGGUGGGUCCACAAUGAGGAUGAGGAAAUUCAGCGGUAGGAGCAUCGGGUUUAACCGUAGAGGUCAAAGUUUUUGAAUUCAAGGAGGAGCAUGUACAGGGGAAGAAGCUCGCCAUUAACAUGCAAAACCUCGAGUUCUUUAGCAGCGGUCAUGGUUUAGAUGCUUUCGUAAAUAGGCACACAUGUAUGGAUCACUGAGGAGGAGGAGAACAACGUUUUGGUGGGAGUCAUUGACUAUGUUGAUAUUUUGGGCGUUGUAAUUGUGGCACCUUCUGCUUUGGUUUCUCUUUGUGUCCA